RNAcentral lists this ribosomal RNA (101 nucleotides) under Serratia marcescens. Its description in RNAcentral is "partial 16S ribosomal RNA". It matches the Rfam family "Bacterial small subunit ribosomal RNA", at positions 1441 to 1533 of the family's 1533-position model. The record is from RNAcentral. Lineage: Bacteria; Pseudomonadati; Pseudomonadota; Gammaproteobacteria; Enterobacterales; Yersiniaceae.
UUCGGGAGGGCGCUUACCACUUUGUGAUUCAUGACUGGGGUGAAGUCGUAACAAGGUAACCGUAGGGGAACCUGCGGUUGGAUCACCUCCUUACCUAAAGA